CAUUCCAACCACAGCUCCUGUUCCCAGGCUGGGAUCACCGCUGCCUGCACAGGGAGAGGGGUCAGGACAGGCCUGAAACCCCGGUGGGAUGUCGGGGGGGAAAUGCGGCUGCUAAAGGCAGCCUCGCCAAAAGGUGAGGGGGCUUGUGCAGCGGGGCGGCCCUUCAUGGUGGAGCGCCAGGGGCACACGGUGGCCAGUGCCGGGCUGUGGGACUCCUCUGCAACCCCGCCGGACUGGGGUGAGCCAGGCACGGAGCCCAGUGCCCGCAGCCAUGAGCUGGGAUGGGAGGAGUAUCCUUUGGAAAGGCAGUGGCAGCCCGCAGCACCGGUAACACCUUCCGGGCACUCUCUCACCGCCUUGUGAGGAGAUGCACAACAAACCGAUCCGAGCCCGUGGGGCGGACGGAGCCGGCUUCCCCCGGGCAGGCGGAGCGAGGCCUGCCCGGCCCCGCCUCGGGCCGCGCUCCGCGGGCGGCGGCGCGGCGGCCCCUGCCGGCCGAGGGGCGCCAUGGCCCGUCCGCACAGUACGGCCGCGGGAGGGAAGGAUGGAUGGAGCGGGCGCCGAGGUGGGGCUGAGGAGCUGCCGAGAGGCCCCGGAGGCUCCCCUGGCCGGCGGCCAUAGGCAGCCCGGCCUGAGGCGCCGGGCAGCGGCAGCGAACUCGGCACAGACAAAAGGACUUGGAGGCGCUGCGAGGGCCCGGCUGGGCAGCCGCGCUCCCGCCCCCCCCCCGGCCCGCAGAUGGGCAAUGGAAAAGCUGAAGAUGGUGCAAAGCUCACAGGUGAAAGUAACAGAGUAACAUGACAUGACCUUGCUUCUGAGAGCUGUAGCUUCUGUAAGAACUGCUUAUUAAAAAAUUCUGUUAUUCCCUACA
Long non-coding RNA from Pseudopipra pipra, 871 nucleotides. RefSeq lists it as uncharacterized. The transcript is spliced from 2 exons. The record is from RefSeq and is a predicted model, not a curated record. Lineage: Eukaryota; Metazoa; Chordata; Aves; Passeriformes; Pipridae.